This 491-nucleotide ribosomal RNA is filed under the name uncultured bacterium. Its description in RNAcentral is "partial 16S ribosomal RNA". It matches the Rfam family "Bacterial small subunit ribosomal RNA", at positions 29 to 507 of the family's 1533-position model. The record is from RNAcentral.
GUGAACGCUGGCGGUAGGCCUAAUACAUGCAAGUCGAACGGCAGCACAGUAAGAGCUUGCUCUUACGGGUGGCGAGUGGCGGACGGGUGAGGAAUACAUCGGAAUCUACUUUUUCGUGGGGGAUAACGUAGGGAAACUUACGCUAAUACCGCAUACGACCUACGGGUGAAAGCAGGGGAUCUUCGGACCUUGCGCGAUUGAAUGAGCCGAUGUCGGAUUAGCUAGUUGGCGGGGUAAAGGCCCACCAAGGCGACGAUCCGUAGCUGGUCUGAGAGGAUGAUCAGCCACACUGGAACUGAGACACGGUCCAGACUCCUAAGGGAGGCAGCAGUGGGGAAUAUUGGACAAUGGGCGCAAGCCUGAUCCAGCCAUACCGCGUGGGUGAAGAAGGCCUUCGGGUUGUAAAGCCCUUUUGUUGGGAAAGAAAAGCAGCAGGUUAAUACCCCGCUGUUCUGACGGUACCCAAAGAAUAAGCACCGGCUAACUUCGUG